UGGUGUAGCUCAAUUGGCAGAGCAGCUGACUUGUAAUCAGCAGGUUGGGGGUUCGAUUCCUCUCGCC
This 67-nucleotide transfer RNA is filed under the name Megamonas hypermegale. It matches the Rfam family "tRNA". From Rfam's summary of the family: Transfer RNA (tRNA) molecules are approximately 80 nucleotides in length. The record is from RNAcentral. RNAcentral also lists the same sequence under 1 other name. Lineage: Bacteria; Bacillati; Bacillota; Negativicutes; Selenomonadales; Selenomonadaceae.